UUUUAUGCAUUUAAUAAAGGUUAAGUAUUUAUUUAAGUACCUUAAUGAAAAGGCAUUAAACAAAUACCUAAAUUUUAUUAUUUUUCCUAAGGUAUAAGAAUUUUAAUGCAUAAAGGAAAAUAAAACAAUCCUAACAAAAUUGGUUUCACUAAUUUAGGACACUCCUAGAAAUUUCUGUGAUUUAAAUGGUGAUAAACAAAUUUAAUCUAUUAAUCUAAUAAAGAAAAACCUACAUUUAUUCCUAAACCCCCGGCCCAACUUUUCUCACUCGCUCCCUCUCUACCCUCUCUCACUUGCGCUGGGCUGGCAGCUCGGGUCCACCUUCUUCUCUUCUCUCUCUUACCCGCCGGCCACCCCUCUUACUGCUGGGCCCACUGGGCCGAUUUCUCUUCCUUCCUCCUUUCCUAUUCCUCUGCCAGCCCAACGGCCCACUUUUCUUUUUCUUUUCUCCCUCCGGCGCUCGGCUUGUUGAACCGGCCCAACCUUUCCUGGGCCUCCGCUCCGCCUCGGCCUGCGACCACUUCUACGGCCCGAGCUCAGUCGCACACCCGCCUUCUCUUUCCCUCUCUCCUUCCUAUUUUUCCAGCCGACCCACCUGUACAACUCUCCUUUGGCCUGGCACCUGGGCCUUCUAGACCGGCCUAUGCCUCACCCCUUCACCCGGCCGAC
Molecule: long non-coding RNA, 669 nt
Filed under: Setaria viridis
Lineage: Eukaryota; Viridiplantae; Streptophyta; Magnoliopsida; Poales; Poaceae
Description: long non-coding RNA (SVIR_LNC004353)
Source: RNAcentral